Long non-coding RNA from Peromyscus leucopus (white-footed mouse), 633 nucleotides. RefSeq lists it as uncharacterized. NCBI's taxonomy places the organism in Eukaryota, Metazoa, Chordata, Mammalia, Rodentia, Cricetidae. The transcript is spliced from 4 exons. The record is from RefSeq and is a predicted model, not a curated record.
UCCGUGAGCUGCAGACAGUGGACCACCUCGGAGAGUCUAGGGGUCCUGGGCGCAAUCUGGAAGGAGGAAGUGGGACGAGAGUUAGUGAGAAGAACUCCAAGAUUACAAAUAUCCACUUCAUUUGAUGCUGAGUUACUCGUCACAUAAGAAAAGGUCUGUUUGGACAUUCAAAGAAGCUACACUUACAAAGAUGGUUUAAAAAAAAAAUCUGAGCGUCCCAAUACUCAUCCUUGCCUCGAAUAAAUAAUGUUGCUUGAAGAAAUUCAUCGGCCCUCUCCAGAUACUUCCAGGUUUGCUGUAAUGAUCUGCAGAAGAGAACUGCCACCACUUUCUCACAUCCCAAGGUGUUGGCGGAACUGGAGCGAAGAAGGGGAGAGGGGCUGCAUGCGUAAUUGCAGAGGGGAGGGCGGGGUGCCUCCUGGGAUCCAGGGCAGGGGUUGGGGAGGUAAGAUGCAACCCAGGAAAGGUCUUUCUGGACGCUGGAGUCGCCAGUUGGAGAAUAUUUGGACAAGGUAUGAUUGCCUUAUUCCCCCCCCCCCCCCGCUCCUCCCCGUCUCUAUCCCAAUGCCUUUGGGGAGAAGAGAUACCCUUGUGUAACAAUUAGCUCAGACAAUAAAAAUAAUUGGAAAAUCA